UCCAACCUCAUCAGUUCAGGCAUCCGUGAGACCAUUCGCUACCUUGUGCAGCACAACAUGGUGGACGUAUUGGUGACCACAGCUGGCGGCGUGGAGGAAGACCUCAUCAAGUGCCUGGCGCCCACAUACUUGGGCGAGUUUAGCCUCAGGGGGAAGGAGCUCCGGGAGAACGGGAUCAAUAGGAUCGGAAACCUGCUGGUGCCCAAUGACAAUUACUGCAAGUUUGAGGACUGGCUGAUGCCCAUUCUGGACCAGAUGGUGAUGGAGCAGAACACAGAGGUGGGGCUGGGGCAACCUGGAGCGGCCAGUCCAGUGGGAGUCAGGGGAGGCAUGGCCUGAAGCUCACAUCCUCUCCUAGGGUGUAAAGUGGACGCCUUCUAAGAUGAUCGCCCGGCUGGGCAAGGAGAUCAACAACCCAGAGUCCGUGUAUUACUGGGCCCAGAAGAACCACAUCCCUGUGUUUAGUCCCGCACUUACAGACGGCUCGCUGGGCGACAUGAUCUUCUUCCAUUCCUACAAGAACCCGGGCCUGGUCCUGGACAUCGUUGAGGGUGAGGCGCUAGGGCCACAGAGGAGAGGGGAAGGAGGGCUGGCUGAGUCCAAGGCCUGACUUCGGCCCUCUUCCCCCAGACCUGAGGCUCAUCAACACACAGGCCAUCUUUGCCAAGUGCACUGGGAUGAUCAUUCUGGGCGGGGGCGUGGUCAAGCACCACAUUGCCAAUGCCAACCUCAUGGUGAGUGGGGGUGGCGCUUCGGCCCACUCUGCAGACAUGCUGUGUGGUGGGCCUAUGCCAUGUGCUGGGGAGACAGCAUGAACUAGACAGGCCAGGAUCCCUGCUCCCCUGGGACUGAUGUUCUAGUAGGGGAGAUAGCAAACAAGUGACAUCCACGUCAGGGGGCAGUCAUUGCUACGGGGAAUACUAAAUGAUGGCAUGAGAAGAGAAAGGGGUGCUGUCCAGCAAGAGGUUUUGGAAGGAGGCUUCUGGAAGUGUGAGCUGGGAGCAGGGGUUUGGGGAGGCAUCUCCCAGGAGCUAUGUGGUUGUCUCCCGUGCCAGGAGUUUGUGCUGC
Molecule: small RNA, 1068 nt
Filed under: Pan troglodytes (chimpanzee)
Lineage: Eukaryota; Metazoa; Chordata; Mammalia; Primates; Hominidae
Description: retained intron
Source: RNAcentral